Molecule: ribosomal RNA, 429 nt
Filed under: Bacteroidota bacterium
Lineage: Bacteria; Pseudomonadati; Bacteroidota
Description: Bacteroidetes bacterium partial 16S ribosomal RNA
Rfam family: Bacterial small subunit ribosomal RNA
Source: RNAcentral
UAGGGAAUCUUCCGCAAUGGACGCAAGUCUGACGGAGCAACGCCGCGUGAGUGAAGAAGGAUUUCGGUUCGUAAAACUUUGUUGUUAGAGAAGAACAGCGCAUAGAGUAACUGUUAUGCGUGUGACGGUAUCUAACCAGAAAGCCACGGCUAACUACGUGCCAGCAGCCGCGGUAAUACGUAGGUGGCAAGCGUUGUCCGGAUUUAUUGGGCGUAAAGCGAGCGCAGGCGGUCAAUUAAGUCUGAUGUGAAAGCCCACGGCUCAACCGUGGAGGGUCAUUAGAAACUGGAAAACUUUAGUGCAGAAGAGGAAAGUGUAAUUCCAUGUGUAGCGGUGAAAUGCGCAGAGAUAUGGAGGAACACCAGUGGCGAAGGCGACUUUCUGGUCUGUAACUGACGCUGAUGUGCGAAAGCGUGGGGAUCAAACAGG